CCGCGCAGCCGGGGUAGUAGCGGCACCUUGUACCUGCAAUCCGCUAUAGCAGGGGUGAUGUCUGGUGGAGGGCGAUAGUUUAUGGAGCAGCCCGAUAAAAGUGGUGUUGACAUUUGGGUCUUUCGCAACGGAAAUUCAUGAAUCAUGUCAGGUCAGGAAUGAAGCAGCAUUAAGUGAAACCUUUCGUGUGCCGAAAGGGUGCCUGAAUCGAGCUAACUGUAUCGGUAACGUCUGUGGACUAGCGUUCGAUAUCAGAUGCGCGG
This 263-nucleotide signal recognition particle RNA is filed under the name Lachnospira sp. RNAcentral describes it as "signal recognition particle sRNA large type". It matches the Rfam family "Bacterial large signal recognition particle RNA". From Rfam's summary of the family: The signal recognition particle (SRP) is a universally conserved ribonucleoprotein involved in the co-translational targeting of proteins to membranes. Archaeal SRP consists of a 7S RNA and homologues of the eukaryotic SRP19 and SRP54 proteins. The record is from RNAcentral. Lineage: Bacteria; Bacillati; Bacillota; Clostridia; Lachnospirales; Lachnospiraceae.